This 2610-nucleotide long non-coding RNA is filed under the name Helianthus annuus (common sunflower). RNAcentral's name for it is "hypothetical non coding rna". The record is from RNAcentral. Lineage: Eukaryota; Viridiplantae; Streptophyta; Magnoliopsida; Asterales; Asteraceae.
GUGAGUUAAUUUUUAUGAUUUGAUAAUCUUGAAUGAAGUGGGUUAUGUUCCAAUCCGCGAAUUGGUAUGAAAUUGAUCAUUUAUAUGUGUUAGAUUCACCAUAUAGGGCAUGGAUUAUGCAUGGUUUAGGUUAAUUUGAUGUCUAGGGGUGAAACCCGUUUGUUAUUGUGAGGAUGACGACUUGAGUCACCACCUAUGCCCAAUUCUUGUUGAAAGAUUGAUGUAAUAUGCUGGUAUGAUGAAUUGUUGUUAGAUGAUUGAAUGAAAUGCGAUGAUAAUAUGGUUGAUUUUUAAUUUUAAAUACAACAUGUUGAUGAGUAGAAGGAUUUGAUGAACUAUGUAUGAAUUUAGAAGAUUAUGCAUGAAUUAGUUGUACGUUAUGCUUAAAAGGUGGUACGCGCGCCAAGUGUAUGAUGAGAUGCUUAAGUGAAGUUAGGAAGCAAAAUGUUAUGAAAAAGCUUGGUGUAUAUAAGAAUGAAAUACGAAAAUGAUGGUAUGAUCAUGUUAAAUUAGUAAUUUGAAUAUGGUUGUAAGCACAUUUGCAUCGAGAGUAGGUAAUGUAUAUGGUGCCUUUUUGUAUAGCCUACUUUGAUAUUACGAGUAGAUGAGAAUAAGUCGAAAGUUCACAUAAUGAAUUGUUGACUUCUGAAAGUCAACUACGUAUAGGGAGCAUGAUAUGACUUCUUGCCAUAAAAAUAAGACUAUAGGAAGUCGUAAGUUACAUGUUAUGCCGAUACGUGAUAUUGGUGAUGGCAUGACGAAUUUCAUGAGUUUGAAAAAUAUAUGAAUUUGAUUAUAUGUCUUAUGCUUGUUGAUUGUGACUAAAGUAAGUCGAACGUGAAAUAUGAGAUUGAUAUGAUUGUUAACAUGUACAAACAAGUAAGCUAACAAGAGUGUGAUUUCGACGAAAUGGAAGUAUAGGAAUCAAGUUGAGACGGGCUCAAUCACGAGGUGUUGACGGGUCAAGAGGAAGCAAGGGAUCGGAUAUGAACACGGAUGCAUGAGGUAAGCGAUUUCCGUAGUCACUUCUUAGUUUGUUUAAGUAAUAUAAUGCUUUAUUUAAUUAGACAUGAUGUUUGAUGUCAAUUAUGUGUUGAAGUCUUUCGUUGUGCAUAAUGGGAAUACAGUUGAUUAAAACGCCCUUGAUGGGUAUAUUGGGCGAACAAUCUUAAAAGUAGACUAUAAGGAAGCUAUUCGAUUAGUGUAAUGGUUUUGGUCAAGUGUGAAAAUGUGGAGUAUGGUUUUGUAUGUCACAAACCACUUAAUGCGUAAAUACCCAUAACGGGUCAAAAUAAGCUUUUGAGCGAAAAUGCGCUAAGAGUAGGCAAGACAUCCAAGAAUUCAAUCCUUUAUGAUAAAUAAUGUUGAUAUUAAAAGGCUCAUGAGGAGUCGAGGUUAAAUAGUCAGAUUAUUUCUAAUAAAUGCAAGAACGGGUCAAAACUUGUAAAAAGGUAAUAAGUCGAUAGUGCGUAAGAUAAGAAUUUUCUUAAUCCGGGUAUGGGAUUUCAAGUAUAUAUGAUAGAUUGUGAAUUUGCAAGCAUGUAGGAAGAAACGGGAGGUUAAACGGACAAUCGGGUUAAAAGUUAUGCGAGUUUUAGUGUGUUCGAACGAUAAAAACAACACAGCAUGAAAACCAGCAUUUGAGAGGCCGUCACCGACGCCCCUAGGGCCGUCGCCGACGCCUCAUGCAAAACCAGUUUUCUCCGACGCUCUAAUUUGCUGUCUACGGACCCCCACCCGACGGACAAAACUAGAGGGCGUCGCCGACGGUACGAUGAGGCGUCGGCGACGGUGCCUCUGUUCCUGACUUCUGUUUUCGCCGUUUCGCCCUCCCGGUUGAUCUUAUUUUCCACCCGCUGCUUCGUAAAGUUUCAAAAAGGCUUCGUAAACUUUGUCAGACUUAAGAAAGCACCAACCUUAUUAAAUAGGUAACUAAGAACUCAAGUUCAUGUGAGGGUGUGGAUCUAUAAACAAUUAAAUUGUGUGGUCGAAUGUGUUAGAACGUGUUAUACGGGUGAGAAGAUAAAACUCGUUCAUAAGGAUGCUUAUAGAUAAAUUAUUGCGCGUGAUUAAAGUACAAUAAUUAAAGGUGGUUGGGUGAGUAUGAUUCGAAUGCUCGUAUGGAGGCAUAUGAUUGUAGAGUGUAAGAGUUAGCUUCCAAUGUUAAUGUAAUACGUAUGUAUGAAACAAAUAUGUAUUUUGUGGAUAUAUGGUAGCGUCCACACAUGGGUAAAUCAAUGUUAUAUGUUUAUGUGAAGACGUAAGUUUUCAAUACGUUGGGGAAUAAGCAUUGCUAACUGUUUUUUUUCGAGAAUGGUCUUAGAAAUGCAGGUAUGUAAGUGAUGGAUUCACGAAGGCUGGAGUCCUGGUGUACGGAACGAAUUCGAAGAACGCGCUAUUGGGGUUAGUCAGAUCAUCAUUAUUACCAUGGGAGAUAAGUGGACAACAAUCGAGUUGAAGGUCAUAGAUUGCACGGGGAAGUGGCGAUAUAGAUGUAAUUAUAUGUUAAUGCAGUUUUUGGUCUAUAACGAAUGAUGUAUUUAAGUUAAAGAAAGAUUGACUUAAAUGAUUUAAGGCACAUUAGAAACAACUAUAAAGGAAGAAAUUUUA